RNAcentral lists this ribosomal RNA (438 nucleotides) under Triticum aestivum (bread wheat). RNAcentral's name for it is "partial small subunit ribosomal RNA". The record is from RNAcentral. Lineage: Eukaryota; Viridiplantae; Streptophyta; Magnoliopsida; Poales; Poaceae.
AUGAUGAGCUGUGUGGCGCCACCACCCAUGUUGCCCCAGCCUGCAGCCAAGCCAUUGACCGUGCCAAUGAUCUUGCUAUUGAACAUGGUGCUCAUCCAGUACUGGCACGACACGAAGGUGGCGAGGGAGAAGCCAAUAAGGAAGCGGACGGCAAUGUACCCUGAAGCAUCAUCGAUGACGGCCAUGCAGAAGACGGUGGGCGCCGAGAGCAUGACCAGGAAGGCGCAGCCCUACCGCGGUCCAAGGAGAUCGCAGACAGCGCCCAUGGCCAGCCUGGAGAAGAUGGAACCGGACACAGACGCGACACCGGCAUUGCCGAUGUCUGCCUUGGCGAGGUUGAGGUUGUCGCGGAUGAUGGGCACCAGCGGCGCCGCGGCGAAGGUGGAGACGAAGCAGGUGAAGAAGGAUAUCCAAGAGAGGUGGAAGGUGCGCAUAUGA